UAAGGUCUACUAUAGUAUACACACUCUAGUACGCACCAAAUCUCGAAAUCUAGUCACCAUAUGCUAACAUCAACGACUGCAUGUGCGCUCAUGGAAAUUUCUCCAAACACCACCACCGUCUUCUUCAGUUACUACAAACAUGCGCAACCCUCCCAUCUCUCAGUACAACAAAAGUCCUCCACGCGCUAACCAUCACAACGGGCCCAGUCCCCAACCAACCUAUUUUUCCAUACAACAGUAUCGUUUCUUGUUAUGUUUCGCUUGGCGAACUAUUCGUUGCACGUCAGUUGUUUGAGAAAAUGCCCCAUAAAAAUGUAGUCUCAUAUAAUGCGAUAAUUAGUGCUUAUAGUAGAUGUGGGGAUGUAGAGGAAGCUUGGAGUUUGUUUUCUCAGAUGAGGAGUUUGGGAUUCAGGCCGACUCAGUUCACGUUCGGUGGGUUAGUAUCGUGUGGGGCACUGGAUCUUCAUCGAGGUGUUCAGCUGCAGGCGUUGGUUUUAAAGAAUGGUCUGUUUCAUGCUGACGCUUUUGUGGGAACUGCUUUGUUGGGUUUGUUUGGGAGGCACGGUCGUAUGGAAGACGCGUUUCUUUCAUUUGAAGAUAUGCCUUGUAAGAGCUUGGUGACAUGGAAUUCAAUGUUGUCUUUGUUUGGACUUCAUGGGCUUGUUGAAGAUUGUAUUUUUUUGUUCCGUGAGCUCUUGAUGGUGGAGAUUGCUCUGUCUGAAAGUUCUUUUGUUAGAGUUUUGUCUGGAAUUUCGUGUGAACAAGAUUUGGCAUAUGGGGCACAAAUACAUGGUUUACUGACUAAAAAUGGGUUUGAUAGUGAAGUUUCUGUUGUUAAUUCUCUUAUCAAUAUGUAUGUGAAAUGUGCCGGCAUAUGCUCAGCAGAGAAAGUCUUUGACACUAUUCCCGUUCGGGAUGUUUCAUUGUGGAAUACAAUUAUUUCGACGGUGGCAAAUAGUGAGAUACCUGGAAAAGCAUUGGAACUCUUUUUGAAAAUGUGCAAGAGUGGAGUGGCGCCUAGCCAGCCCGCAUUCGUAAGUGUUAUUAACUGUUGUACGACUUUGGAGAUUCCAAUUUAUGGAGAAUUCAUCCAUGCUAAAACAAUCAGGAGUGCUUUUGAAUCUGAUGUUUAUGUGGGUAGUGCAUUGGUUGACUUUUAUGCUAAAUGCGAUAAAUUGGUAGAUGCCCAUCGCUGUUUCGACGAGAUAUAUGAGAAGAAUGUGGUUUCUUGGAAUUCUCUGAUUUUGGGUUACUCAAACAAAUGCUCUUCCACUUGUAUAUUUUUACUUCAAGAUAUGCUGCGAUUGGAUUUACGGCCUAAUGAGUUCUCAUUUUCGGCUGUUCUUAGGUCAUCGCUAGCAUUGGAAGUCCGGCAGCUUCAUUGUUUAAUUAUAAGAAUGGGCUACCUGAGUAAUGAGUAUGUAUCAAGCUAUCUUGUUACCUCAUAUGCCAAAAAUGGUCUCAUAUCUGAUGCCCUGGUCUUCGUCACGGCUUCUUACAAUCCACUCCCUGUUGUCCCCUCUAACAUCAUUGCUGGAAUUUAUAACAGAACUGGUCAAUACAGUGAAACACUAAAGUUGCUUUCUCUACUUGAAGAACCUGACCUUGUAUCUUGGAACAUUGUGAUUGCAGCUUGUGCUCGCAACAAUGAUUACAAAGAGGUUUUUGAGCUUUUCAAACACAUGCAUAUGUUUCACAUCCAUCCAGAUAAUUACACGUAUGUUAGCCUUCUGAGUGUGUGCGCUAAACUUUGCAACCUUGCUUUGGGAAGUUCUGUCCAUGGUCUAAUGAUAAAGACAGAUUUCAAUCGCUGUGACACAUUUGUUUGCAAUGUGUUAAUCAAUAUGUAUGGGAAAUGUGGGAGCGUAGAAAGUUCAGUGAAAAUCUUUGACAAAAUGACAAAUAGAAAUCUCAUCACGUGGACAACUCUAAUAUCUGCCUUUGGACUGAAUGGUUUUGCUCAGGAGGCAUUAGGAAGGUUCAGAGAAAUGGAGUGGCUGGGGUUUAAGCCUGAUAGGUUAGCUCUUAUUUCAGUGCUUACUGCUUGCAGACAUGGUGGCUUAGUGAGAGAAGGGAUGGAGUUGUUUGGAAGAAUAAGGAGUUAUGGAGUUGAACCGGAAAUGGAUCAUUACCAUUGUGUGGUGGACUUGCUGGCUAAGUAUGGAUAUGUUAGUGAAGUAGAGAAAAUGAUUGCCAGCAUGCCUUUCCUACCUGAUGCCAUUAUAUGGCGUAGUUUCCUAGAAGGCUAUAAGAGACGAGGAAAUGCAAUGGAUCAAGGCAUGAGACAUCUAAAUUCGGAUGAGCCCAGCAAAUACAUUUCUAUGGGAGAUUAGGCAAUGUCACUGUUUAUCUGUGCAUGUCCCAUAUGAUUCCCACCUCUGCUGUUAAGCCUAAGGUCCACAAUUCACUACAUACCGUUCAACGUGGAAUAUUCCUUGGAGGAUUGAUGAUUUUUGGUAUGUAAAGGCCAGACUGAGCUCAACAAACAAGGAUGGAAGCCAGAGUGGGGAAGGACUCAACAAAUGUUUCCUUUGCCUCCUUGCACCCUUCUGUUAUAUAUACACUUUGAUGAAAGAGAUGCUCUACAGGGUUGUCCUCAACGAGGGGUAGUGAAGCCACAAGGCCAUUUUAUUCUUUCAUGAACAUUUGAGGGUUCUGGUUGUGCUGAGCAGCAAGCUUUUGUUCCGAUGGGAUCUCCCUGGCCGUCAACCGCUCUGCGGGGAACACGGCAUUGUCGUACUUGUACAGCAGAGAUCUUCUGGAUGACCGCUAGUUAUGGCUCUGCAUCACACCACCUGUGAGUGAGCGAUUUGGCGGUGGGUUGAUCGGUAUGAAGUGUGCAAAGAGAUUCGCAGUUUGGAUCUCUCUUAUUUGCCUAAAAAUUACUGUAUGAUAGGUAAGAAAGCUGAGGAAAGCAAAGGAAAAGGGUAAAAAAGUCACCUUGAUUAAUUAAGAUUUUAAGUAGUAGUUUCCUUAGGUUAUAAAUAUACUAGAUGUUCUACACAUCUUCCUCCAGUCCUUUUUCCAUCCUUCCAGUUUUAAAAAUCACGGUUAGACAUAUGAGAGACCCACAUGGACUCCACAGAUCUAAUAAUGAUUUUCAAAAGUAGAAUGAUGAGAGAAAGACCGAAGAAAAUGAAGCAUUUCUCAAAUUAGUUAUACAUUCCAGUAGUUGAAGUUGUUUUGUUUUACCAAUUGUUUGCUCAGAAAACAAACAGAGGGAAAUGGGUUUUCCAUUUUUUAUUUUUAUUUGUGUUGUAGUUGUUGGUUAAUUGGUUGCUUUGUUUAAUUGCAUGCCACUUUGGGUUGUCUGAGUUUGCUUUGCGUUUGUUAAAUUGUGUCUCUAUUGAUUGAUCAAUUUGCAAAGCUGACGAAAUUUGCGAGUUUGAGCAGCGGUUGAUAUGUAGGCAGAAAGGUACGAGGGUUGAACUUCAAUUCUGGGUUAAUAUGGGAACCAUGUUCUUUUUUUUGUAUGGAGGUGGUGUUGUGGGUUGAAAUUCAAUUGGUUCUUUCUGGCUGCUUGAUGAGAUGAUGAAUGCUACACAAAUGUCCAGUUCUACAGUUUUUGAUGUGUCUUUCAAAAUCAUCAUUUGAUCCAAACUCUAAU
Molecule: RNA transcript, 3607 nt
Organism: Alnus glutinosa
Lineage: Eukaryota; Viridiplantae; Streptophyta; Magnoliopsida; Fagales; Betulaceae
Gene name: pentatricopeptide repeat-containing protein At3g58590
Exons: 2
Source: RefSeq, a predicted model, not a curated record